CGGGAAACGGCACUAACACCGAUAUGCUUCGGGGAGCUGUAAGUGAGCUGUGAUCCGGAGAUUUCCGAAUGGGGGAACCCGCUGCCUUUAAUCGGGCAGUAUCCAUGUGUGAAUUGAUAGCACAUGAGAAGGCAGACCCAGGGAACUGAAACAUCUAAGUACCUGGAGGAAGAGAAAGCAAAUGCGAUUCCCUGAGUAGCGGCGAGCGAAACGGGAUCAGCCCAAACCAAGAGGCUUGCCUUUUGGGGUUGUAGGACACUCUAUACGGAGUUACAAAAGGAAGGAUUAGGCGAAGCGACCUGGAACGGUCCGCCGCAGCGGGUAACAGCCCCGUAGCCGAAAACCCUUCCCCUCCAGAGUGGAUCCUGAGUACGGCGGAACACGUGAAAUUCCGUCGGAAUCCGGGAGGACCAUCUCCCAAGGCUAAAUACUCCCUAGUGACCGAUAGUGAACCAGUACCGUGAGGGAAAGGUGAAAAGCACCCCGGAAGGGGAGUGAAAUAGAUCCUGAAACCGUGUGCCUACAAGUAGUCAGAGCCCGUUAAUGGGUGAUGGCGUGCCUUUUGUAGAAUG
This 572-nucleotide small RNA is filed under the name uncultured Streptococcus sp. RNAcentral's name for it is "bacterial LSU rRNA". It matches the Rfam family "Bacterial large subunit ribosomal RNA", at positions 52 to 617 of the family's 2925-position model. Lineage: Bacteria; Bacillati; Bacillota; Bacilli; Lactobacillales; Streptococcaceae. The record is from RNAcentral.